UCUGCCUUCGGAUUUGGGAUAACUUCGCGAAAGCGGAGCUAAUACCGGAUAGUCUGGCUUUACAUAGAAGUAGGUCGGUAAAGGAUGCCUCUGCAUAUGCAUUCGUCCGAAGAUGAGCCCGCGUCUCAUUAGCUAGUUGGUGGGGUAAAGGCCUACCAAGGCAACGAUGAGUAACUGGUCUGAGAGGAUGAUCAGUCACACUGGAACUGAAACACGGUCCAGACUCCUACGGGAGGCAGCAGUGGGGAAUAUUGCGCAAUGGGCGAAAGCCUGACGCAGCAACGCCGUGUGAGGGAUGAAGGCUUUCGGGUCGUAAACCUCUGUCAGAAGGGAAGAACGGAUAAUGGUCUAAUAGGCCGUUAUUUUGACGGUACCUUCAGAGGAAGCACCGGCUAACUCCGUGCCAGCAGCCGCGGUAAUACGGGGGGUGCAAGCGUUAUUCGGAAUUACUGGGCGUAAAGCGCGCGUAGGCGGCCCUGUAAGUCAGGGGUGAAAUCCCACGGCUCAACCGUGGAACUGCCCUUGAAACUGCGGGGCUUGAAUCCUGGAGAGGGUGGCGGAAUUCCUGGUGUAGGAGUGAAAUCCGUAGAUAUCAGGAGGAACACCGGUGGCGAAGGCGGCCACCUG
This 627-nucleotide ribosomal RNA is filed under the name uncultured bacterium. RNAcentral's name for it is "bacterial SSU rRNA". It matches the Rfam family "Bacterial small subunit ribosomal RNA", at positions 125 to 731 of the family's 1533-position model. The record is from RNAcentral.